UUUUAAAAUAUUAAUUUUUUAUCUUACAAAUUUAUUAAAGAUUUAUAUUUUUUAGAAUAAAAAAAAUAUUAUAUCAUACAAAUUUUGCAUUGAUAAAUGACCUGAGAUCAUUUUUUUGAAAGAUAAGUAACACGCUACCCGCUUCGUUUAUUUCAUUUAGAAAUAAAUUUAAUUAUAAAUAUAAAUCAACUAGAAUUCGAAUUUGAGUUUCGGAUACCAACUAUUAAAUUUUUUUGCCACUUGUGCGAUCGGUAUUAUCUCUACUAUCAUUAAAAUCACUUUCC
This 284-nucleotide long non-coding RNA is filed under the name Ananas comosus (pineapple). RNAcentral's name for it is "long non-coding RNA (ACOM_LNC014138)". Lineage: Eukaryota; Viridiplantae; Streptophyta; Magnoliopsida; Poales; Bromeliaceae. The record is from RNAcentral.